RNAcentral lists this ribosomal RNA (38 nucleotides) under Phlebiopsis gigantea. Its description in RNAcentral is "partial 17S ribosomal RNA". Lineage: Eukaryota; Fungi; Basidiomycota; Agaricomycetes; Polyporales; Phanerochaetaceae. The record is from RNAcentral.
UUGAAAGUAAAGUCGUAACAAGGUUUCCGUAGGUGAAC